GAUGAACGCUGGCGGCGUGCCUAAUACAUGCAAGUCGAACGGAGAUUGUAGCAAUACGGUCUCAGUGGCGAACGGGUGAGUAACGCGUUGGUGACCUGCCCCAAAGAGCGGGAUAACAGUUCGAAAGGACUGCUAAUACCGCAUGUGAUCUCCGGGACUAGAAGCCUGGAGAUGGAAGGGAGAAAUCCGCUUUGGGAGGGACCUGCGUCCCAUCAGCUAGUUGGUAGGGUAACGGCCUACCAAGGCGAUGACGGGUAGGGACCGUGAGAGGGUGGCCCCCCACAAUGGAACUGAAACACGGUCCAUACACCUACGGUGGCAGCAGUAGGGAAUAUUGGUUAAUGGGCGAAAGCCUGAACCAGC
Molecule: ribosomal RNA, 363 nt
Filed under: uncultured bacterium
Lineage: Bacteria
Description: bacterial SSU rRNA
Rfam family: Bacterial small subunit ribosomal RNA
Source: RNAcentral